UGAACGCUGGCGGCAGGCCUAACACAUGCAAGUCGAGCGGAUGAAGGGAGCUUGCUCCUGGAUUCAGCGGCGGACGGGUGAGUAAUGCCUAGGAAUCUGCCUGGUAGUGGGGGAUAACGUCCGGAAACGGGCGCUAAUACCGCAUACGUCCUGAGGGAGAAAGUGGGGGAUCUUCGGACCUCACGCUAUCAGAUGAGCCUAGGUCGGAUUAGCUAGUUGGUGGGGUAAAGGCCUACCAAGGCGACGAUCCGUAACUGGUCUGAGAGGAUGAUCAGUCACACUGGAACUGAGACACGGUCCAGACUCCUACGGGAGGCAGCAGUGGGGAAUAUUGGACAAAGGGCGAAAGCCUGAUCCAGCCAUGCCGCGUGUGUGAAGAAGGUCUUCGGAUUGUAAAGCACUUUAAGUUGGGAGGAAGGGCAGUAAGUUAAUACCUUGCUGUUUUGACGUUACCAACAGAAUAAGCACCGGCUAACUUCGUG
This 482-nucleotide ribosomal RNA is filed under the name uncultured bacterium. Its description in RNAcentral is "partial 16S ribosomal RNA". It matches the Rfam family "Bacterial small subunit ribosomal RNA", at positions 30 to 507 of the family's 1533-position model. The record is from RNAcentral.